This 547-nucleotide ribosomal RNA is filed under the name uncultured bacterium. RNAcentral's name for it is "bacterial LSU rRNA". It matches the Rfam family "Bacterial large subunit ribosomal RNA", at positions 630 to 1181 of the family's 2925-position model. The record is from RNAcentral.
AUGUUCGUGGCGAGGCGGAGCCGUGAGGCUGAGCCGUAGGGAAACCGAGUCUGAAUAGGGCGAAAGUCACGGGAUGUAGACCCGAAGCCAAGUGAUCUACCCAUGGUCAGGGUGAAGCGCGGGUAACACUGCGUGGAGGCCCGAACUCACCAAGGUUGAAAACUUGGGGAUGAACUGUGGGUAGGAGUGAAAGGCUAAUCAAACUUGGAAAUAGCUGGUUCUCCCCGAAAAAUAUUGACGUAUUGCGUCGGAAAAGCGCUGUCGGGGGUAGAGCACUGACAGGGCUAGGGGGCCGCAAGGCUUACCAAACCCUAUCAAACUCCGAAUACCGACAAGCGACGUCCGGCAGGCAGGCCGCGGGAGAUAAGUUUCGUGGCCAAGAGGGAAAGAGCCCAGACUCCCAGCUAAGGUCCCUAAGUGAGUGCUGAGUGGUCAAGGAUGUGGGGAAGCCCAGACAACCAGGAGGUUGGCUUAGAAGCAGCCAUCCUUCAAAGAAAGCGUAAUAGCUCACUGGUCAAGUUUUCCUGCGCCGUAAAUAUAACGGGGC